Molecule: long non-coding RNA, 1417 nt
Filed under: Homo sapiens (human)
Lineage: Eukaryota; Metazoa; Chordata; Mammalia; Primates; Hominidae
Description: long intergenic non-protein coding RNA 1102
Source: RNAcentral
UUUUUCUUUCUUUCUUUUUUUUUUUUUUUCUGGUUUUGCUUUUGGCUGUCAGCUAAGUAGAGGAAGCCGACAGAACCAGCAAGCCAGAAAGGGAAUGAAGACAUUUGGAGAAGAAGCGUUUACUGAAAGGAGAUUCCUGGGCUGGAGGAAAACCAUGAUCUACAGUUCAUGUUGACAGAUAUUGUAUUUUUGGUCCUAGAUCUGACUUUUGAAAUGACUUAUCACAAAUUCAAAUUUAGCAAUCAUGAGUGAAGUACCCACGAUGUGCUAAGCAUCUACCUCUGCAGAUAGAAGAACACUUACUGUUCCUGAGCAUGGGAGGGAAUAGAAGUUCCUGGGUCCUGGCCUCACCUCAUCAGGCACUGCCAAAUUUGACACCUCCUUCCUGUUCACGGCAGUCCUUUGCGAUAGGGUAUUAGAUGCCACCAAGUAGCUGCAUAACUCACCCAUUUGGUCAGAGCCUGGGUCUAAGCCAGGUCUGACAGACUCCAAAGCAAGCCCUGUUUACAGCAUGACUGGGAUCCAGUGGACGAGGGAACUGAGCUGUCAAAACUAAGUGACUUGAUUGAGGCCAUGCAGCUGGCGAGGGGAGGACCAGGAUCUGAACCCAACUGGGUCUCCCAAGCCUGGGCCACUGAACCAUUUCACCUCUUGGAAAAACUUAAUGGUCAGAGUGGCCCACCCAGUCCAUGGACAGCAUGGAGGAUAAACUGCUUCCCUAGAAAUCCUCUCCAGCAUUCUUGCCACCACGACUUUGGGACACAUUGACCAUGAGGAGGAGCUGGUCAAUGAUGGACAGGAGUCCAGAUUAGCAGAGAUGUGGUAAUAAGGACACCGAUGCCUAAAUACUUGAAAUAUCCAAUAGGAAGCAUUCCACCUUUGUGCAAAUGCGAACCACAUCUCACCAAGUUCAGGCCAAGGCUGCCACCGGUGACGUUUUGGAAAAGAAAAAAAAAAGCGGGGGGAGAGGAGAGAAACAGAGAAGCAAGGAAUGCAGAAGAGAGCAGAGGCCACAAAAACAGCAGCAACGUGUCCUGUGUAUUCUGUUUCCUUGUAAAACUAUGAAGCAUGUUAAGGAGAUACUUCAUUUUUUGAGGAUUCAUACUCUUGUUUAUAUUAUAAUAAAAACAACCCAUGUUCUUUCUAAAAAUUUAGGCAAUGCCUUCGUGCACAUAAAAGUAAAACAAAAUCACCUGUAAUCCUACCACACGCAGAUCAGCACUUGCUAAUCUUUUCACAGGGAUCCUAAGAAUAUCCUAUUCUCUAUAGAAUAUAGUUGAUUUAUGUUACCUAAUAACUAACUGUUAACCAUUUUAAAAUUCUUCAGUUUUACAUUAUGCUAGAAAAAAGGAGCCGUCACUCUACGUGACAUUUCUGUAUAUUGGUUUAUUCAUUCAAUAAACAUUUUUUAAGUACC